Molecule: unclassified non-coding RNA, 262 nt
Filed under: Hevea brasiliensis (rubber tree)
Lineage: Eukaryota; Viridiplantae; Streptophyta; Magnoliopsida; Malpighiales; Euphorbiaceae
Source: RNAcentral
AGAAGUUGUUGUAUCCUAAAUCUAGCACCUCCAGUUCUUCAAGUCCUCCAAAUCCUUGAGGGAUGGUUCCAGUAAAAGAAUUGUUUCGCAAAUUAAUUGAUUUUAUAUGGACUAAGUUCUUGAGCUCAGGAGCAAGUGUUCCUUCAAGACAAAGAUCUUUCAAAUUCAGGGCUAUAACUUUCCCAUCUGAGCAUUCAACUCCUAACCAGAAGCAUGGAUUAAUAUCCUCUUUGUGAUCAUCCCAAUUUGACAAAGCACCAAA